AGUCCUGUAGCUCAGUUGGUUAGAGCACUACACUGAUAAUGUAGGGGUCAGCAGUUCAAGUCUGCUCAGGACUA
RNAcentral lists this transfer RNA (74 nucleotides) under Flavobacteriales bacterium. RNAcentral describes it as "tRNA-Ile". It matches the Rfam family "tRNA". Rfam says of the family: Transfer RNA (tRNA) molecules are approximately 80 nucleotides in length. Their secondary structure includes four short double-helical elements and three loops (D, anti-codon, and T loops). Lineage: Bacteria; Pseudomonadati; Bacteroidota; Flavobacteriia; Flavobacteriales. The record is from RNAcentral. RNAcentral also lists the same sequence under 9 other names.